RNAcentral lists this ribosomal RNA (465 nucleotides) under uncultured Veillonellaceae bacterium. RNAcentral's name for it is "bacterial SSU rRNA". It matches the Rfam family "Bacterial small subunit ribosomal RNA", at positions 338 to 795 of the family's 1533-position model. The record is from RNAcentral. Lineage: Bacteria; Bacillati; Bacillota; Negativicutes; Veillonellales; Veillonellaceae.
CCUACGGGGGGCUGCAGUGGGGAAUAUUCCGCAAUGGACGAAAGUCUGACGGAGCAACGCCGCGUGAGUGAUGAAGGUUUUCGGACUGUAAAGCUCUGUUGUUUGGGACGAAAGUGCCUGUUGCGAACAGUUACGGGUAUUGACGGUACUAAACGAGGAAGCCACGGCUAACUACGUGCCAGCAGCCGCGGUAAUACGUAGGUGGCAAGCGUUGUCCGGAAUUAUUGGGCGUAAAGAGCAUGUAGGCGGGAAUCUAAGUCUGUUGUUAAAAUGCGGGGCUCAACCCCGUAUUGCGAUGGAAACUGGGUUUCUUGAGUGCAGGAGAGGAAAGGGGAAUUCCCAGUGUAGCGGUGAAAUGCGUAGAUAUUGGGAGGAACACCAGUGGCGAAGGCGCCUUUCUGGACUGUGUCUGACGCUGAGAUGCGAAAGCCAGGGUAGCGAACGGGAUUAGAUACCCCUGUAGUC